RNAcentral lists this non-coding RNA (31 nucleotides) under Homo sapiens (human). The record is from RNAcentral. Lineage: Eukaryota; Metazoa; Chordata; Mammalia; Primates; Hominidae.
ACCAUGUCCAUCCUGUGAGACAAAGUUGUCU